GACGUAGGGGGCGAGCGUUGUCCGGAUUCAUUGGGCGUAAAGAGCGCGUAGGCGGCUUGGUAAGUCGGAUGUGAAAACCCGAGGCUCAACCUCGGGCGUGCAUCCGAAACUGCCCAGCUAGAGGUAGGUAGGGGAGAUCGGAAUUCCUGGUGUAGCGGUGAAAUGCGCAGAUAUCAGGAGGAACACCGGUGGCGAAGGCGGAUCUCUGGGCCUUACCUGACGCUCAGGCGCGAAAGCUAGGGGAGCGAACAGG
Molecule: ribosomal RNA, 253 nt
Filed under: uncultured bacterium
Lineage: Bacteria
Description: partial 16S ribosomal RNA
Rfam family: Bacterial small subunit ribosomal RNA
Source: RNAcentral